CCAUUCUUGAGAGCUGCUCCACCGAAAGCUGAAAAGGACAAACUUCUGCCAGCUGAGAGAGAAGCAGAAGAUGAAGAGGAAGGAGAAGGAGAGGAGGGAGAAGGAAAAGAAAGAGCGGCAUGAGUCAACUAACCUGGGAUAGGCUCAUAAGAUGGAUUGUAUUUGCUGGCACAUAUGAAGAGGGAGAAUAUGGAAAAUGUGCAGUAUACCCCAGAGAGCUAUUAUUAUUUUAAUACGCAAUGCUAAAUUUGGUGUUGUAAUUAUUCUGUUGUAUAUCACCCUGAAAUUCACUACUAUGUAACAAUGCUGUUAUUAUAACAUCAGAUUUUGUGUUCUGUCCCGGCAAUGUCACUUUGUAUUUAUGGUAUUAGACUGUGACUACAACAUUAACCGCUGUCAUUAAACCUGUCAGUCACACUAAAAAGUAAUGUACAUGAGCAAAUAUUACAUGCAUAAAGAAUGUUUUUCCACCCCUCAUCAUAGACACUCAUAAUUCAAACAUUCUGUCAUAUGGAAUGCAACAAUUUCUGCCAUUCAAUGUGAUCAGAUCAAGUUAUCUGCACUUUUGUGCCGUAAAUGUACCAGAUCCAGGGUGAAGCAUCUCUAACCACA
RNAcentral lists this long non-coding RNA (612 nucleotides) under Scleropages formosus (Asian bonytongue). Its description in RNAcentral is "lncRNA (ENSSFOG00015027924.1)". The record is from RNAcentral. Lineage: Eukaryota; Metazoa; Chordata; Actinopteri; Osteoglossiformes; Osteoglossidae.